AAUCAACGCUGGCGGCGUGCCUAACACAUGCAAGUCGAACGAGAAAGUGGAGCAAUCCAUGAGUAAAGUGGCGACCGGGUGAGUAACACGUGACCAAUCUACCCUUGAGUGGGGGAUAACCUCGGGAACCGGGGCUAAUACCACAUAAUAUCUUCGGGACGGAAGUGCUGAAGAUCAAAGGAGCAAUUCGCUUAAGGAGGAGGUCGCGGCUGAUUAGCUAGUUGGCGGGGUAACG
This 235-nucleotide ribosomal RNA is filed under the name uncultured bacterium. Its description in RNAcentral is "partial 16S ribosomal RNA". It matches the Rfam family "Bacterial small subunit ribosomal RNA", at positions 32 to 262 of the family's 1533-position model. The record is from RNAcentral.